AACAUUCACAAUCCCUUUGUCCUCUUCUCAUUCUUCCCCCAUCACUGCACUUGAGAACGAGGGUGUUCUCUCCGCUGGGUCCGCCAUCGAUGCCAAGUUCGGAUUCUUGCGCCUCGAUUUCCGGCAAAGCCCCAUCGUUGGCACCGUUGAGUUAUACGAAUGCCGCCGCUUGUUCCUCUGAUACAAGAACCCACCGGUCUGGCCACCAAGAAUCGAGGCUCCAAGAACCCUCCGGAAGCUAUGGCUCAUCGUGGGUCCCUCUAUCUUCAGCCGUGUUGCAGCAAUCACCAUGAACAUUGUUACCCAAGCCUUCGGCCUCCUCCUACAAGACACUUGACGAGCGAGGUGCUGAUGUGCACAUUGUUGGAGGAGGGUGCAUCACUUUGCAGUAUAUAAAUCCAUACCUGAACACUGAUGCUAGAACCAUGUCUCCUUUUGAGCAUGGGGAGGUUUUUGUCUUAGAUGAUGGUGGUGAGGAUUAGCUAUACUCAUUAUUUUCCUUGCUUUCUUGAGCAAGAUUUGUGGACAGCAUGAUAAAGAGUAAAUAAAUAAAAUUAAGUUCGUGACAUUCACUGGCAUUCCAAUCAAGGCUUCCGUUUGUUUCUGUCAUGGAUAUGGUGAUACUUGCACCUUCUUCGAAGGAACUUUUCCCACAGUGGACAGUUUUAAAUUGGAAGAUGAUGCUCCUAAUAAAGAAGAAGAUAGUCAGAGACAGAGAAAAAAGCCAAAGAGGAUUCAAGUCAAGGAGAGUCUUGACCAGGGAUAUUUCAAGUUUACCCACUUAAAAUCAUGAUUCAUGUGUAUGAAGACGAUGAUUAUGAUCCUAAGUCUACAAAACUUAUCACUCUAGGAUUUGAGUACUUGAAGUUGAAUAUUGUAUGUGUUGGAAUAGAAGGAUUAUGUAUUGAUUUGAAGUUCAAAAAAGACUGAGAGUUGUUCUGUUGAAUUAUGAACUUAGUUUUGCAUUGUAUAUUGACAUUGUAAAUUGUAUAAGUCUUUUGUAAUACUU
Gastrolobium bilobum is the source of this 1009-nucleotide long non-coding RNA. RefSeq lists it as uncharacterized. The transcript is spliced from 6 exons. Lineage: Eukaryota; Viridiplantae; Streptophyta; Magnoliopsida; Fabales; Fabaceae. The record is from RefSeq and is a predicted model, not a curated record.